UCCACCCCUGGCUGGUUUCUGCUUCCACCUGCUGAUCUCACAGAGGUGAGGUGAUAACAGUGAUGAAACAAAAUCUUCAAACCACAGCACACACUGCAAGCUAUUUGGCAUAUGAAGGUCUUGACCUGAGAAAACCAUCUUGGAUAACUGCAGCAAGGAAAAGGAAAAAUGCAACACCUAGGAGAUUUCAGUAAACAGUAGAAUCAUGCCAACCUAAUCUGUGUUAAAAUGCUUGGAAUGUGGGAGCCGCUGAUGAUGCCUCUUGUCUGUGUGUCUGACUGAAUCCUUUCUUUUCUCAGAGCAGCAAAGCAAAGCCUGGGAACCAGGCCAAAUGCCUGCCACUUACCUUAAAUUGAUCAGCCACUUUGAGAUUAAAACCCCUGAAAGCUGCCACACCGUGAAAACAAGGCCUCCUUCACAUUAAAGGCAAAUUGC
This 435-nucleotide long non-coding RNA is filed under the name Homo sapiens (human). RNAcentral describes it as "HSALNT0342007". The record is from RNAcentral. Lineage: Eukaryota; Metazoa; Chordata; Mammalia; Primates; Hominidae.